UGGAAGUAAAAGUCGUAACAAGGUCUCCGUUGGUGAACCAGCGGAGGGAUCAUUACCGAGUUUACAACUCCCAAACCCAAUGUGAACGUUACCAAACUGUUGCCUCGGCGGGAUCUCUGCCCCGGGUGCGUCGCAGCCCCGGACCAAGGCGCCCGCCGGAGGACCAACCAAAACUCUUAUUGUAUACCCCCUCGCGGGUUUUUUUUAUAAUCUGAGCCUUCUCGGCGCCUCUCGUAGGCGUUUCGAAAAUGAAUCAAAACUUUCAACAACGGAUCUCUUGGUUCUGGCAUCGAUGAAGAACGCAGCGAAAUGCGAUAAGUAAUGUGAAUUGCAGAAUUCAGUGAAUCAUCGAAUCUUUGAACGCACAUUGCGCCCGCCAGUAUUCUGGCGGGCAUGCCUGUCCGAGCGUCAUUUCAACCCUCGAACCCCUCCGGGGGGUCGGCGUUGGGGAUCGGCCCUCCCUUAGCGGGGUGGCCGUCUCCGAAAUACAGUGGCGGUCUCGCCGCAGCCUCUCCUGCGCAGUAGUUUGCACACUCGCAUCGGGAGCGCGGCGCGUCCACAGCCGUUAAACACCCAACUUCUGAAAUGUUGACCUCGGAUCAGGUAGGAAUACCCGCUGAACUUAAGCAUAUCAAUAAGCGGAGGA
This 646-nucleotide ribosomal RNA is filed under the name Trichoderma lixii. RNAcentral describes it as "eukaryotic LSU rRNA". The stretch from base 258 to 411 matches the Rfam family "5.8S ribosomal RNA". The record is from RNAcentral. Lineage: Eukaryota; Fungi; Ascomycota; Sordariomycetes; Hypocreales; Hypocreaceae.